This 609-nucleotide ribosomal RNA is filed under the name Lysinibacillus sp. RNAcentral's name for it is "bacterial SSU rRNA". It matches the Rfam family "Bacterial small subunit ribosomal RNA", at positions 213 to 814 of the family's 1533-position model. The record is from RNAcentral. Lineage: Bacteria; Bacillati; Bacillota; Bacilli; Caryophanales; Bacillaceae.
UGUCGCUUUAGGAGGGGCCCGCGGCGCAUUACCUAGUUGGGGAGGUAACGGCUCACCAAGGCGACAAUGCGUAGCCAACCUGAAAGGGUGAUCGGCCCCCCUGGGACUGAAACACGGCCCAAACUCCUACGGGAGGCAGCAGUAGGGAAUCUUCCCCAAGGGGCAAAAGCCUGAUGGAGCACCGCCGCGUGAGUGAAAAAGGUUUUCGGAUCGUAAAACUCUGUUGUAAGGAAAAAACAAGUACAGUAGUAACUGGUUGUACCUUGACGGUACCUUAUUAGAAAGCCACGGUUAACUACGUGCCAGCAGCCGCGGUAAUACGUAGGUGGCAAGCGUUGUCCGGAAUUAUUGGGCGUAAAGCGCGCGCAGGCGGUCCUUUAAGUCUGAUGUGAAAGCCCACGGCUCAACCGUGGAGGGUCAUUGGAAACUGGGGGACUUGAGUGCAGAAGAGGAAAGUGGAAUUCCAAGUGUAGCGGUGAAAUGCGUAGAGAUUUGGAGGAACACCAGUGGCGAAGGCGACUUUCUGGUCUGUAACUGACGCUGAGGCGCGAAAGCGUGGGGAGCAAACAGGAUUAGAUACCCUGGUAGUCCACGCCGUAAACGAUGAGU